ACAAUACGAGGCAAGGCAGAGGGCAGGGACGUCCUUCGAAGGUGCGCUGGAGGGUCGCCUGCUGCAGCCGCACCCGCCGCGCGUGCCCCACGUUUCUUUGAACGGAAUGAAACGCAGAGAAACAUAAGAUCCCGGGAGAACGCGAGGGAGACGAGUGACCCCAACCCAGUCGCGGGGUGCCGGGCAGUUAGGCCAGGGUGCCAGAUAAGGUCUGAGGCAGUUGGCG
This 226-nucleotide long non-coding RNA is filed under the name Homo sapiens (human). RNAcentral describes it as "non-protein coding IL12A-AS1:7". The record is from RNAcentral. Lineage: Eukaryota; Metazoa; Chordata; Mammalia; Primates; Hominidae.